GACGAACGCUGGCGGCGUGCCUAAUACAUGCAAGUCGAACGAACUCUGGUAUUGAUUGGUGCUUGCAUCAUGAUUUACAUUUGAGUGAGUGGCGAACUGGUGAGUAACACGUGGGAAACCUGCCCAGAAGCGGGGGAUAACACCUGGAAACAGAUGCUAAUACCGCAUAACAACUUGGACCGCAUGGUCCGAGCUUGAAAGAUGGCUUCGGCUAUCACUUCUGGAUGGUCCCGCGGCGUAUUAGCUAGAUGGUGAGGUAACGGCUCACCAUGGCAAUGAUACGUAGCCGACCUGAGAGGGUAAUCGGCCACAUUGGGACUGAGACACGGCCCAAACUCCUACGGGAGGCAGCAGUAGGGAAUCUUCCACAAUGGACGAAAGUCUGAUGGAGCAACGCCGCGUGAGUGAAGAAGGGUUUCGGCUCGUAAAACUCUGUUGUUAAAGAAGAACAUAUCUGAGAGUAACUGUUCAGGUAUUGACGGUAUUUAACCAGAAAGCCACGGCUAACUACGUGCCAGCAGCCGCGGUAAUACGUAGGUGGCAAGCGUUGUCCGGAUUUAUUGGGCGUAAAGCGAGCGCAGGCGGUUUUUUAAGUCUGAUGUGAAAGCCUUCGGCUCAACCGAAGAAGUGCAUCGGAAACUGGGAAACUUGAGUGCAGAAGAGGACAGUGGAACUCCAUGUGUAGCGGUGAAAUGCGUAGAUAUAUGGAAGAACACCAGUGGCGAAGGCGGCUGUCUGGUCUGUAACUGACGCUGAGGCUCGAAAGUAUGGGUAGCAAACAGGAUUAGAUACCCUGGUAGUCCAUACCGUAAACGAUGAAUGCUAAGUGUUGGAGGGUUUCCGCCCUUCAGUGCUGCAGCUAACGCAUUAAGCAUUCCGCCUGGGGAGUACGGCCGCAAGGCUGAAACUCAAAGGAAUUGACGGGGGCCCGCACAAGCGGUGGAGCAUGUGGUUUAAUUCGAAGCUACGCGAAGAACCUUACCAGGUCUUGACAUACUAUGCAAAUCUAAGAGAUUAGACGUUCCCUUCGGGGACAUGGAUACAGGUGGUGCAUGGUUGUCGUCAGCUCGUGUCGUGAGAUGUUGGGUUAAGUCCCGCAACGAGCGCAACCCUUAUUAUCAGUUGCCAGCAUUAAGUUGGGCACUCUGGUGAGACUGCCGGUGACAAACCGGAGGAAGGUGGGGAUGACGUCAAAUCAUCAUGCCCCUUAUGACCUGGGCUACACACGUGCUACAAUGGAUGGUACAACGAGUUGCGAACUCGCGAGAGUAAGCUAAUCUCUUAAAGCCAUUCUCAGUUCGGAUUGUAGGCUGCAACUCGCCUACAUGAAGUCGGAAUCGCUAGUAAUCGCGGAUCAGCAUGCCGCGGUGAAUACGUUCCCGGGCCUUGUACACACCGCCCGUCACACCAUGAGAGUUUGUAACACCCAAAGUCGGUGGGGUAACCUUUUAGGAACCAGCCGCCUAAGGUGGGACAGAUGAUUAGGGUG
Molecule: ribosomal RNA, 1489 nt
Filed under: Lactiplantibacillus argentoratensis
Lineage: Bacteria; Bacillati; Bacillota; Bacilli; Lactobacillales; Lactobacillaceae
Description: bacterial SSU rRNA
Rfam family: Bacterial small subunit ribosomal RNA
Source: RNAcentral